Molecule: ribosomal RNA, 301 nt
Filed under: uncultured bacterium
Lineage: Bacteria
Description: partial 16S ribosomal RNA
Rfam family: Bacterial small subunit ribosomal RNA
Source: RNAcentral
CAGUAGCCACGGUAAUACAGAGGGUGCGAGCGUUAAUCGGAUUUACUGGGCGUAAAGCGUGCGUAGGCGGCUAAUUAGUCGGAUGUGAAAUCCCCGAGCUUAACUUGGGAAUUGCAUUCGAUACUGGUUAGCUAGAGUGUGGGAGAGGAUGGUAGAAUUCCAGGUGUAGCGGUGAAAUGCGUAGAGAUCUGGAGGAAUACCGAUGGCGAAGGCAGCCAUCUGGCCUAACACUGACGCUGAGGUACGAAAGCAUGGGGAGCAAACAGGAUUAGAGACCCGCGUAGUCCCUGUCUCUUAUACC